UACGCAGGGGGCUAGCGUUGCUCGGAAUCACUGGGCGUAAAGCGCACGUAGGCGGCUUGUUAAGUCAGGGGUGAAAUCCUGGAGCUCAACUCCAGAACUGCCUUUGAUACUGGCAAGCUUGGAGUCCGGGAGAGGUGAGUGGAACUGCGAGUGUAGAGGUGAAAUUCGUAGAUAUUCGCAAGAACACCAGUGGCGAAGGCGGCUCACUGGCCCGGUACUGACGCUGAGGUGCGAAAGCAUGGGGAGCGAACAGG
This 254-nucleotide ribosomal RNA is filed under the name uncultured bacterium. RNAcentral describes it as "partial 16S ribosomal RNA". It matches the Rfam family "Bacterial small subunit ribosomal RNA", at positions 524 to 776 of the family's 1533-position model. The record is from RNAcentral.